AUUGAACGCUGGCGGCGUGCUUAACACAUGCAAGUCGAUCGGUAACAGGUGUAGCAAUACAUGCUGACGAGAGGCGGACGGGUGAGUAAUGCUUGGGAAUCUGCCUAUUAGUGGGGGACAACCCGGGGAAACUCGGGCUAAUACCGCAUACGCUCUACGGAGGAAAGCCGGGGACCGCAAGGCCUGGCGCUAAUAGAUGAGCCCAAGUCGGAUUAGCUAGUUGGUAGGGUAACGGCCUACCAAGGCGACAAUCCGUAGCUGGUCUGAGAGGACGACCAGCCACACCGGAACUGAGACACGGUCCGGACUCCUACGGGAGGCAGCAGUGGGGAAUAUUGGACAAUGGGGGCAACCCUGAUCCAGCGACGCCGCGUGGGUGAAGAAGGCCUGCGGGUUGU
Molecule: ribosomal RNA, 398 nt
Filed under: uncultured bacterium
Lineage: Bacteria
Description: bacterial SSU rRNA
Rfam family: Bacterial small subunit ribosomal RNA
Source: RNAcentral